CAGGCACCUCCAUGUUGGACUUCUAGUUUCCAAAGCUGUGAGAAAGUGCAUAUCUGUUGUUUAAAUCAUCCAGCCUAAGAAGGAACAGAAGGCACUUUCCUUCGGAAUGAUCCAAGUUGCUGGUUACGCAUCGUCCUUCUUCCUGCACUUGAAUGUUCUCUAAAAGAACUUUUAAACUCCACGAAAGAUCAAUAUUUGACAAUCUUAGUGAUAUUUUACUGAUACCAAAAAGGAAAACAAAAGCAUUGAGGGGUUACAUAAAAGAGUAACUUCUGUCUUUCCGGCAAGCUCUCCUUUGGUGGCUUUGAUAAAGCUAUAUGGAGAAGUCCGUGCAGGAAGAACUGAGAGCAGCUCUGGCCGAUGUCCAAAAAGCCACUGAGACCCUCAGUCCAACAGUCCACAAGAACUAAAUCCUGCCAACACUCAGAGCUGGUGAGUGGAUCCUUCCCCAACUGAGCCUUUGGAUGAGACCCUGGCUGACACCUUGACUGCAGCCUCGUGAGAUCUUACAGCAAAGAACUCAGCUAAGUCAUGACCAGAUUCUUGAAAACUGAGACAAUAAAUAAAAAAAUAAACUAUGUUGACCUAAGC
Molecule: long non-coding RNA, 591 nt
Filed under: Equus caballus (horse)
Lineage: Eukaryota; Metazoa; Chordata; Mammalia; Perissodactyla; Equidae
Description: lncRNA (ENSECAG00000048540.1)
Source: RNAcentral